RNAcentral lists this ribosomal RNA (269 nucleotides) under uncultured bacterium. RNAcentral describes it as "partial 16S ribosomal RNA". It matches the Rfam family "Bacterial small subunit ribosomal RNA", at positions 793 to 1055 of the family's 1533-position model. The record is from RNAcentral.
GUCCACGCCGUAAACGAUGAAUGCUAGGUGUUGGAGGUAUUCACCCCUUCAGUGCCGAAGUUAACGCAUUAAGCAUUCCGCCUGGGGAGUACGGCCGCAAGGUUAAAACUCAAAGGAAUUGACGGGGGCCCGCACAAGCGGUGGAGUAUGUGGUUUAAUUCGACGCAACGCGCAGAACCUUACCCGGCCUUGACAGCUUAGGAAGACUGGUGAAAGCCAGUUGUGCCCCCUCAAAAGGGACCUAAGAACAGGUGCUGCAUGGCUGUCGU